Long non-coding RNA from Rosa chinensis, 365 nucleotides. RefSeq lists it as uncharacterized. NCBI's taxonomy places the organism in Eukaryota, Viridiplantae, Streptophyta, Magnoliopsida, Rosales, Rosaceae. The transcript has 3 exons. The record is from RefSeq and is a predicted model, not a curated record.
GAGAGAGAGAGAGAGAGAAACUGUGAAAGGAGAAGAGGAGUAAUCGAUCUGGAUUUGUUUAAUCAAUACCUAUCACAGCUCCCAAAUUGAAAUUCCACUGAUAGUCUGAGAGAGGAAGAUUUGACUAAAAUCAAAUAGAAAAGGCUUCGUCUGUGAACAUACUUCUUUUCUUAUUUCUUUUUCUUUCUUUAGCUAUCCUUUGAUUUUAAUGAAAUUUACAGGAACUUACUGAUUCGGCGAAGCACAAGAGAACGGCUUUGAGUCUGAGUUUAUUUCAGGGUCUUUACUGACAGAGGUUGCUCUCUAGAGAAAGAAAGGAGACGAAACAAAGAGAGAGGGAGAAGAGAACGGGGAAUAAGGAAAAG